AUUCCAAUCGAACCCGGAGAUAGCUGGUUCUCCCCGAAAUAGCUUUAGGGCUAGCCUGAGGUAGUAAGUAUAGGCGGUAGAGCACUGAUCGGGCUAGGGGCCGUAAAGGUUACCGAACCCUGUCAAACUCCGAAUGGAUAUACUGUAGAGCCUUGGAGUCAGACUACGAGUGAUAAGAUCCGUGGUCAAAAGGGAAACAGCCCAGACCACCAGCUAAGGUCCCCAAUGUCGUACUAAGUGGAAAAGGAUGUGGGGUUUCAUAAACAACCAGGAUGUUGGCUCAGAAGCAGCCACCAUUUAAAGAGUGCGUAAUAGCUCACUGGUCGAGAGACCCUGCGCCGAAGAUUCCCGGGGCUAAAGUACGAAACCGAAGCUGUGGCUGUAUACGUAAAGUAUACGGGGUAGGGGAGCGUUCCCAUAGGGUAGAAGUCGAACUGGAAGGUUCGGUGGACUUGUGGGAAGUGAGAAUGUUGGUAUGAGUAGCGAAAAGAAAGGUGAGAAUCCUUUCCACCGAAAGCAUAAGGAUUCCUGAGCAACGAUCGUCGUCUCAGGGUAAGUCGGGACCUAAUCCGAGGCAGAGAGCGUAGGAGAUGGACAACUGGUUGAUAUUCCAGUACCGGUAGUAAUUGUUUGAGCAAUGGAGUGACACAGAAGGGCAGGCAAGCAUGCGAAUGGAAGAGCAUGUGUAAGCGUGUAGGGUGGUGCAUAGGCAAAUCCGUGCACUGAAAGCCUGAGGCGUGAUGCGGAGUGAGCAGAGAUGCGAGCGAAGUUGUUGACCCCACACUGUCGAGAAAAGCUUCUAGUGAGAGAGCUACCGCCCGUACCGUAAACCGACACAGGUAUGCGGGGAGAGAAUCCUAAGGUGCGCGGGAGAACCCUCGUUAAGGAACUCGGCAAAAUGUACCCGUAACUUCGGGAUAAGGGUAGCCACUGUUGUGAAGUCCCAUGCGGAUGGAGCAUAGAGUGGUCGCAGAGAAGAGGCCCAAGCGACUGUUUACCAUAAACACAGGUGCCUGCUAAAGCGAAAGCUGACGUAUAGGUGCUGACACCUGCCCAGUGCCGGAAGGUUAAGGAAGGAUGUUCGGAUUAGUCCAAAGCAUUCGACUGAAGCCCCGGUGAACGGCGGCCGUAACUAUAACGGUCCUAAGGUAGCGAAAUUCCUUGUCGGGUAAGUUCCGACCCGCACGAAAGGUGUAACGAUUUGGGCACUGUCUCAACGAGGGACCCGGUGAAAUUGAAAUACCUGUGAAGAUGCAGGUUACCCGCGACUGGACAGAAAGACCCCAUGGAGCUUUACUGUAACCUGACAUUGGGUUUUGAUACAUUACGUACAGGAUAGGUGGGAGGCAUGGAAAGCUGGACGCUAGUCUGGCUGGAGCCGCCGUUGGGAUACCACCCUUGAUGUAUUGAAAUUCUAACCGCGAGAGUAACGAAAUCCGGGACAGUGUCAGGCGGGCAGUUUGACUGGGGCGGUCGCCUCCGAAAGAGUAACGGAGGCGCCCAAAGGUUCCCUCAGCGCGGCCGGAAAUCGCGCGAAGAGUGUAAAGGCAGAAGGGAGCUUGACUGCGAGUCAAACACGACGAGCAGGUACGAAAGUAGGGCUUAGUGAUCCGGUGGUACCGAGUGGAAGGGCCAUCGCUCAACGGAUAAAAGCUACCCUGGGGAUAACAGGCUAAUCUCUCCCAAGAGUCCAUAUCGACGGGGAGGUUUGGCACCUCGAUGUCGGCUCAUCACAUCCUGGGGCUGAAGUCGGUCCCAAGGGUUGGGCUGUUCGCCCAUUAAAGUGGUACGUGAGCUGGGUUCAGAACGUCGUGAGACAGUUCGGUCCCUAUCCAUCGCGGGCGCAAGAGAUUUGAAGGGGGCUGCUCCUAGUACGAGAGGACCGGAGUGGACGAACCGCUGGUGUACCAAUUAUCCCGCCAGGGGUACAGUUGGGUAGCUACGUUCGGAAAGGAUAAACGCUGAAAGCAUCUAAGCGUGAAACCAGCCUUAAGAUGAGAUCUCUCAUAGAGCAAUCUAGUAAGACACCUUAAAGAAGAUGAGGUUGAUAGGUCGGGAGUGUAAGUACAGCAAUGUAUUGAGCGGACCGAUACUAAUAUGUCGAGGGCUUGACUUA
Molecule: ribosomal RNA, 2116 nt
Filed under: human gut metagenome
Description: bacterial LSU rRNA
Rfam family: Bacterial large subunit ribosomal RNA
Source: RNAcentral